Molecule: ribosomal RNA, 465 nt
Filed under: uncultured bacterium
Lineage: Bacteria
Description: partial 16S ribosomal RNA
Rfam family: Bacterial small subunit ribosomal RNA
Source: RNAcentral
GACGAACGCUGGCGGCGUGCUUAACACAUGCAAGUCGAACGGAAAGGCCCUGCUUGCAGGGUACUCGAGUGGCGAACGGGCGAGUAACACGUGGGUGAUCUGCCCUGCACUUCGGGAUAAGCCUGGGAAACUGGGUCUAAUACCGGAUAGGAGCCAUUUUUAGUGUGAUGGUUGGAAAGUUUUUUCGGUGUAGGAUGAGCUCGCGGCCUAUCAGCUUGUUGGUGGGGUAAUGGCCUACCAAGGCGGCGACGGGUAGCCGGCCUGAGAGGGUGGACGGCCACAUUGGGACUGAGAUACGGCCCAGACUCCUACGGGAGGCAGCAGUGGGGAAGAUUGCACAAUGGGCGCAAGCCUGAUGCAGCGACGCCGCGUGGGGGAUGACGGCCUUCGGGUUGUAAACUCCUUUCGCUAGGGACGAAGCUUUUUGUGACGGUACCUAGAUAAGAAGCACCGGCUAACUACGUG